This 843-nucleotide ribosomal RNA is filed under the name uncultured bacterium. RNAcentral describes it as "bacterial SSU rRNA". It matches the Rfam family "Bacterial small subunit ribosomal RNA", at positions 15 to 906 of the family's 1533-position model. The record is from RNAcentral.
GAUCAUGGCUCAGAAUGAACGCUGGCGGCAUGCCUAACACAUGCAAGUCGAACGAGAUCUUCGGAUCUAGUGGCGCACGGGUGAGUAACGCGUGGGAACCUACCUUUUAGUACGGGACAACGUUUGGAAACGAACGCUAAUACCGUAUACGCCCUCCGGGGGAAAGGUCAGCCGCUAAAAGAGGGGCCCGCGUCUGAUUAGCUUGUUGGUAAGGUAAUGGCUUACCAAGGCGACGAUCAGUAGCUGGUCUGAGAGGAUGAUCAGCCACACUGGGACUGAGACACGGCCCAGACUCCUACGGGAGGCAGCAGUGGGGAAUAUUGGACAAUGGAGGCAACUCUGAUCCAGCAAUGCCGCGUGUGUGAUGAAGGCCCUAGGGUUGUAAAGCACUUUCAACGGUGAAGAUGAUGACGGUAGCCGUAGAAGAAGCCCCGGCUAACUUCGUGCCAGCAGCCGCGGUAAUACGAAGGGGGCGAGCGUUAUUCGGAAUUAUUGGGCGUAAAGGGCUCGCAGGCUGCUUGAACAGUUAGACGUGAAAUCCCCGGGCUUAACCUGGGAACUGCGUUUAAUACUAGCAAGCUAGAGAAAUAGAGAGGAAAGUGGAACUCCCAGUGUAGAGGUGAAAUUCGUAGAUAUUGGGAAGAACACCAGUGGCGAAAGCGACUUUCUGGCCAUUUUCUGACGCUGAGGAGCGAAAGCGUGGGGAGCAAACAGGAUUAGAUACCCUGGUAGUCCACGCCGUAAACGAUGUGUGCUAGAUGUUGGAGGGUUACCUUUCAGUGUCGCAGCUAACGCACUAAGCACACCGCCUGGGAAGUACGGUCGCAAGAUUAAAACUCAAGG